GGCCUCCGCGGGGAGGCCACGCCCUCUCCCGGUGCGGGUCCCGCUGCUGUCCCAAAAUAGGUCCUUUUCCCCCGGUGUUCACGAGGCUGAUCCACGCACAGAGUCGAGGAUGUGGCGUUACGCAGCAUUUGGGAAGCACAACAGAAAGGCAGGACUGGACAAGGGAGGGAUGAAGGCAGCCUUUGUAUGAGCUCCUGGGGAAGAAAGGAGAUGGUUUUGGUGAAAUAAAGGGCACACACACAAACCUA
Long non-coding RNA from Empidonax traillii (willow flycatcher), 248 nucleotides. RefSeq lists it as uncharacterized. The transcript has 2 exons. Lineage: Eukaryota; Metazoa; Chordata; Aves; Passeriformes; Tyrannidae. The record is from RefSeq and is a predicted model, not a curated record.